AGUCGACGAUGAAGCCCAGCUUGCUGGGCGGAUUAGUGGCGAACGGGUGAGUAACACGUGAGUAACCUGCCCUUGACUCUGGGAUAAGCCCGGGAAACUGGGUCUAAUACCGGAUAGGAGCGCCUGUCGCAUGACGGGUGCUGGAAAGAUCUUUCGGUCAUGGAUGGACUCGCGGCCUAUCAGCUUGUUGGUGAGGUAACGGCUCACCAAGGCGACGACGGGUAGCCGGCCUGAGAGGGUGACCGGCCACACUGGGACUGAGACACGGCCCAGACUCCUACGGGAGGCAGCAGUGGGGAAUAUUGCACAAUGGGCGAAAGCCUGAUGCAGCGACGCCCCGUGAGGGAUGACGGCCUUCGGGUUGUAAACCUCUUUCAGCAGGGAAGAAGCGAAAGUGACGGUACCUGCAGAAGAAGCACCGGCUAACUACGUGCCAGCAGCCGCGGUAAUACGUAGGGUGCGAGCGUUAUCCGGAAUUAUUGGGCGUAAAGAGCUCGUAGGCGGUUUGUCACGUCUGUCGUGAAAGUCCGGGGCUUAACCCCGGAUCUGCGGUGGGUACGGGCAGACUAGAGUGCAGUAGGGGAGACUGGAAUUCCUGGUGUAGCGGUGGAAUGCGCAGAUAUCAGGAGGAACACCGA
This 638-nucleotide ribosomal RNA is filed under the name Micrococcus sp. RNAcentral describes it as "bacterial SSU rRNA". It matches the Rfam family "Bacterial small subunit ribosomal RNA", at positions 60 to 712 of the family's 1533-position model. The record is from RNAcentral. Lineage: Bacteria; Bacillati; Actinomycetota; Actinomycetes; Micrococcales; Micrococcaceae.